GUACACUCCUACGGGAGGCAGCAGUGGGGAAUAUUGGACAAUGGGCGCAAGCCUGAUCCAGCCAUGCCGCGUGAGUGAUGAAGGCCCUAGGGUUGUAAAGCUCUUUCACCGGUGAAGAUAACGACGGUAACCGGAGAAGAAGCCCCGGCUAACUUCGUGCCAGCAGCCGCGGUAAUACGAAGGGGGCUAGCGUUGUUCGGAUUUACUGGGCGUAAAGCGCACGUAGGCGGACUAUUAAGUCAGGGGUGAAAUCCCGGGGCUCAACCCCGGAACUGCCUUUGAUACUGGUAGUCUUGAGUUCGAGAGAGGUGAGUGGAAUUCCGAGUGUAGAGGUGAAAUUCGUAGAUAUUCGGAGGAACACCAGUGGCGAAGGCGGCGCACUGGCUCGAUACUGACGCUGAGGUGCGAAAGCGUGGGGAGCAAACAGGAGUAGAUACCCGUGUAGUCCCAUG
RNAcentral lists this ribosomal RNA (452 nucleotides) under uncultured organism. RNAcentral's name for it is "partial 16S ribosomal RNA". It matches the Rfam family "Bacterial small subunit ribosomal RNA", at positions 331 to 799 of the family's 1533-position model. The record is from RNAcentral.